Molecule: ribosomal RNA, 298 nt
Filed under: uncultured bacterium
Lineage: Bacteria
Description: partial 16S ribosomal RNA
Rfam family: Bacterial small subunit ribosomal RNA
Source: RNAcentral
AGCGCACCCUUGUCCUUAGUUGCCAGCACUUAAUGGUGGGAACUCUGGGACACUGCCGGUGAUAAACCGGAAGAGGGGGGGGACGACCUCGAGUCAUCGGGGCCCUUAUGGGUGGGGCUACACACGUGCUACUAUGGCCGGUACAGAGGGCAGCAAACUCGCGAGGGAGAGCAAAUCCCACAAAGCCUGUCCUAGUCCGGAUUGGAGUCUGCAACUCCACUCCGUGAAGUCGGAAUCGCUUGUAAUCGCAUAUCAAAAUGUCGCGGUGAAUACUUUCCCGGGCCUUGUACACACCGCC